This 409-nucleotide ribosomal RNA is filed under the name Pila conica. RNAcentral describes it as "bacterial SSU rRNA". It matches the Rfam family "Eukaryotic small subunit ribosomal RNA", at positions 67 to 438 of the family's 1831-position model. Lineage: Eukaryota; Metazoa; Mollusca; Gastropoda; Architaenioglossa; Ampullariidae. The record is from RNAcentral.
ACACCCUCGCACGGUGAAACCGCGNNUGGCUCAUUAAAUCAGUCGAGGUUCCUUAGAUGAUCCAUUUCUACUUGGAUAACUGUGGCAAUUCUAGAGCUAAUACAUGCGGACCAGCUCCGACCCGGUGUCGCAGCCGGGAAAGAGCGCUUUUAUUAGUUCAAAACCAGUCGGCUCGUCCGCCCCUUCGCGGGGGUGCCGUCAGCCGUCCCCUUUUGGUGACUCUGGAUAACUUUGUGCCGAUCGCAUGGCCUCGAGCCGGCGACGCAUCUUUCAAAUGUCUGCCCUAUCAAAUGUCGAUGGUACGUGACAGGCCUACCAUGUUGACUACGGGUGACGGGGAAUCGGGGUUCGAUUCCGGAGAGGGAGCAUGAGAAAGGGCUACCACAUCCAAGGAAGGCAGAGGCGCGCA